This 164-nucleotide ribosomal RNA is filed under the name uncultured bacterium. Its description in RNAcentral is "partial 16S rRNA". It matches the Rfam family "Bacterial small subunit ribosomal RNA", at positions 358 to 511 of the family's 1533-position model. The record is from RNAcentral.
GGAAUCUUCGACAAUGGGGGGCAACCCCUGACCGAGCAACGCCGCGUGAGUGAAGAAGGUUUUCGGAUCGUAAAGCUCUGUUGUAAGAGAAGAACGUGUGUGAGAGUGGAAAGUUCACACAGUGACGGUAACUUACCAGAAAGGGACGGCUAACUACGUGCCAG